Molecule: long non-coding RNA, 32980 nt
Filed under: Vitis vinifera (wine grape)
Lineage: Eukaryota; Viridiplantae; Streptophyta; Magnoliopsida; Vitales; Vitaceae
Description: long non-coding RNA (VVIN_LNC006546)
Source: RNAcentral
ACGUUUAUGCCCAAAUUUGUAAGUUCUGCUGGGAUUGCAGUUGAAGUUAUUGUCACCCCCAAAGCCAUACUUGGUGCGGUACCCUGGGUAGUCCCUAAAAUUAAAGGGCACUUCUUCUAUAAGUCGAAGCCCAACUCUUGAGGCUAGAAAUUCCAAAUUCCACUCACGAAAGAAGCCAUUGCUUUUGUGAGUAAUGUGGAUUUCUCCAUCUAUGUGAAUCAUCUUCUUAGCAUUUUCUAAAAACAGCUGUACCAGCAUUUGAUUUCUCCUGCAAGAAGAAACAAUGAUAUAGAAGGAAAAUUUUCAUGUGAGAAUUGGGAAUACAGGCUAUACAUAAAUUCGAUUGAAGAAGCUUUUCAAAGAAAGAAUCUACCAACCGGAUCUCAUCUUCCCUUGAUUCAUUGGGAAAAAAUCCAGCCAGCGGGAAGUUGUAGACAACUCGAUCAAAACGCAUGCAGUUGAAUGGUAAAACGUGUGCCAUUUUGGUGGCAUCAACAUCAUGCAUGACCUUAGCUCCCAAGCUCCAUAGUGUAUCGAUGUUGGACAAGGCAUGCCUAUAGUUUGUGCUCAAAAACUCUGAAAAUUGCAGUUGAUAGUCAUCAAUUAAGGCCAUAAGACAAACCCCAAAUGGGUGCUGGGGCACAUGCUAAUCAAGGUUUACUCGGGACUAGAAUGAGAAAAAUACCCAAAUCAACCAAAAUCAUGACAUUCAUGAGAAACACUCAAAGAAGGUUACCAACUUAUGAUUCAGGAUUUCUUAUUUGUUACCUAUAGAAUCAAGAGAAGUAGCGGUUAUGUUUGUAGCAGAAGCAAAAGCCACAGCCAAAGACGCAGAGAAUGAAAAGUCCCCUUCACCCACCAGCAAUAUUUUGUAUUCACUGCUGUAGUGCUUUAUCCAUCUUACUCCAUGCUUUCCUUCCUCUAGGUCUUCUUCACAGCUGCUGUAGUCCCACCAAUUUUUUCCUACCGCUCCUCUGGUUCGUUCUUCGUUUUCUUCAAUUAUGUCGUAAUGGUGGAGCCGUGCAGAAACUUGCUUCUCAUCACCUACAACUUGGACUUUAAAUUUUGCAGGAAUUAACAGAUCCAAUGCAUCAUCAGACCUGGAAUUGCUGCGUGAGUCCAAGCUCAGUGGAAAACCCAGAGAGUUUCGCUGCGAUGCACCACUGAUGCCUGAGUUGCUGCUUGGGACAGAGCUCAGUGGAAGAGUCACUGGAUUUGGCUGGAAAUGGGAUGCACCACUCACGCUAGAGUGGCUGCAGGAGCUAGAGAGUAGUGAAGGAUGAGUCUGUAUCUUUGGCAGAGCAUGAGAAGUACCACUUGGCCUGGAUAGGCCACACGAGUUGGAGCUGAGUGGCUGAGGAGUCUGCACUGGUUUUGGGUAAAAAUGGGUUGUGCUGGAUUGGCUGCAUGAGCUAGAACUUAGCUGUUGGUGAGUCUCUAGUUUUGGUUGGACAGGGGAUGAUACAGUCGUGCUGGAGAGGCCACAUGAGCUCAAGUUGAGUGGCUGAUGAGUCUGCACUAGUUUUGGGUAAAAAUGGGUUGUGCUGGAUUGGCUGCAUGAGUUAGAACUCAGUUGUUGGUGAGUCUCUAGUUUUGGCUGGACAGGGGAUGAUACAGUCGCGAUAGAGAAGCCACAUGAGCUCGAGUUUAGUUGAUGAUAAGUCUGUAGUGUUGGCUGAAGACGUGAUGCACUACUUGUUUUGGAGUGGGUGAAUGGGCUAGAGCUAGAGUUAGAGCUAGAGCUCACUGGAGGCGGAGGAUGAGUCCGUAGAUUUGUCUGCAAUGCGUAGUCCCUACAUGAUUCUAAGCUCGGUGGAGAAGUAAAUGGAUUCGGUGGCAACGCAGGCCUUGAGCUUGAAGAAUUGGUGUCUGAGGCAAAUCUCGGCAGAGAAAUCAGGGGUAGUUUUUCACUUGGCUUCUUUUUAUCAUCUUUUUCACCCCACAACCAGCGAAUAAUAACGGAGAGAAUUUGACCCAUUGAAUCACCCGUCCCCCCCUUCUUUUUCUUCUUCCUUCAUCAAGGAGCCUGUAAACAUAGAAAUGUCCCUUGUCAUGAAAACCUUGCGGGCGUGCACUGCAAUGUCAAUGGGCUUGACACAGGUCCCACCAACAUUGCAUUAAAUUUUCCUUCUCGGACAAGUAAGAUAAGGAAUGCCUCUGCCACAUGCUGUUGAGAAAAAUAAGAAGAUAUUACCCACAAAGCCUAUCAUGUUAACAUUCAAGUCAUCCCACAUCAGAAUAAGAGAGAGGCUUUUCGGUCUCACCCGUUCCCUCGUAAAAAGGGCUUUACCACAUAUUUUUCUUUUUAUUAUUAUAUUUUAAAAUUAUCGCUGCAGUAUCCUUUCAUAACAUAUUAAAUCAGGUAUCAUUUCAUAUCAAAUCAUUGUAGCCUGCUUGACUACUCCAAUUCCCAAGCCUUUCUCCUCCUUUUUGAAUGUUGAUUCCAUAAAUGUCUAGUUUCCAGUGAUGUAGGGUUGUGUGAGUCUUUCUCUGCCAUAUCAGACCGAGACAUUAAUAUGACUCAAAUGCAAUAUUCAUGUUAGAAUACAAAGGGAUUCAAAUUGCCAACAAAUAACCAAAAAUCAUCUUCACAGCCAAAUCUACAACUACUAAACAUCUUUUCCCUGUAAAACUAGUAAAAUUUUCAUCCAGACAUGUUGAUUAACUAUAAAAGAACAUGCUUCUGCAUUCAUCCCCAUCUAAGUUCAGCAUUUUAGCAGAAACCCAAUAUGAAAAAACAGAAUGACAGAAAGGGUAAAAGGGCGCCAAUAUCAAUACCAUGCAUGCAGAUGAGCUUGUGGGUGAUGAGAGCUUUGUUGAGACCAGAGAUCAAAGCUCCCAAAUCAGAGUUUUCCCACCAAAGAUCGGACGAGAUCAAACACUAGUGAUGCUUGGCUUGCAGGAGAUCCAUCAGUGUUGGGUGUGAGAAAUGAGAGUUGUGCUGAGAGUGAAGGGGGAGCAAUAUCAGAAGGUAAAGAAGCUUCCGAUGAUUCGUACGUCCAAAGACUUGGUUGGACCUGGCCAUUUUUAUGCUACGUGGAGGCACUCUAUUCGGAUUAAUAAAGUGAUAAAAGAAAAAAAUUAGGAAAGAUUCGAAAGAAGUCCAUUUCAUCAAGGAAUUUGAUACCCAAAGUGAUGGAAGUAAUUAAAAUAGAUUGAUGAUGAUGAUGAUGGCUCCACCAAACAGCAUUCCAUACCCAACCCACCAAUCAUAAAAUUCAGUGACAUGGGAGUGGAUAAAGCAAAAUAAGAUAUACUAAAAUUAUUUUAAAAUACUUUGUAUUUCCAGAUAAUUUUUUAUUUGGGGAUCGGCAAAGGAAACAAAGUUGAAGAAUUGUUUUAAAACAAUUUAUUCAUUUUAAUUUUUUUUAAAUUUUCUUUCACUUGGUAAAUAUUUCAUAAUUUUAAAAAUUAUUAUAUUAUUUAAUUCAUAUUAUUUUAAUACUUAUCAUUAUAAAAAUAAAUAUGCACUUAAAUAUUUAUAAAAAUAAACAUUAUAUAAUUUUUGUAAAAAUUUUCGUAAAGCCAACAGUUGGUCUAGUGGUAGCAAUCUCUUUUUUUUAUUGCUGCCUUUUAGGUUUGAUUUCUCAUACUCCUCUUUUCUACAUAUACCCAUCCCACAUUGAAAACUUAUACAAGCAUUUCCUCCCAUAAAUUACAUAUGAGCUUGGCAUAGAAAUUAGUUACUUAUAAUGUGGGCCAUCAAAAUAAAUAUAUUUGGGUUGUACAUCUUUUAGGGCUAGGUUGAGAUCGUACAACAUAUUUUUAAUUUAACUCAACUUGGAGGCAUUGGCAUCUUCCUCCAGGUUCACACUAUUUAUGAAACUCUAUGUAUUUUUAAUAAAGUUAAGAUCGUACAACAUAUUCUUAAUUUAACUCGACUUUGAGACAUUGGCAUCUUCCUUGGGGUUUACAUUGAAUCAAUAAAGAGGUGUUCACAUUAUCAUAUGAAGAACUCUAUGUGUUUUCAAUGAAGUUGAGAUCGUACAACAUAUUCUUAAUUUAACUCGACUUGGAGGCAUUGGCAUCUUCCUUGGGGUUCACAUUGAAUCAAUAAAGAAGGGUUCACAUUAUCAUAUGAAGAACUCUAUGUAUUUUUAAUAAAGUUGAGAUCGUACAACAUAUUCUUAAUUUAACUCGACUUGGAGGCAUUGGUUUCUUCCUCCCAAAUUCAUUGUAUGUGUAAAUGACAUCUUCCUCUUAAAUUCAUUGUAUGUAUGUAUAAAUGAAAGAAAGUUGAUUCGAAGAUCCAAACAAUCUUCUACUUUUAAAAUUUUAUGAACCCAAUCUAUGAUUUUCCAUUUAAAGAAAUCGACAAUGAACUAAAUUCAACCAAAAAUUACAUACAUAUCUAUAAUAUAUAAUAUCCAUUAGCUAUAUUACCAACUUAAUUUUAUUAUAGAGUAGCAUACCACAUCUAUAUAGUUUAUAAUUGAGCUACUUAGUAAUGUUAUGAGAAGGUUAUACCAAUAGCUAUAAACAUUCAUCUCCUCGAGUUAGAAUAAUAUGACUUGACAUAGAUUGCAAUAAUGUAAUUUAAAUAGGUCUCUCAUCUACUACUGUAGAUUUUUUAAUCAUUUUUCUUUUCUUUUAAGUGAAAGAUUGGUAAUUGGAGGGUUGGAGUUCACUUAUUCUUUCUAAAUUUUAUGGUUUUGGUUCAAAGACUAAUGAAAAGAGUUGAAGGUUCUAGGGGUUUCCAUGAAUAUCAAGUAGAAUAUGUAUCAAAUUGAUCAUGAUAAGAAUAGCAUUAUGAAUCUUAAAUUAUUUGACUAAUUAAAAAAGAAAAAACAGAGAGAAAAUAUUUUGAAGCAAAAAAGUAAGAAAGGACUCUAAAUUAGUAUUAUGUAUGAAUAUCGAGUGGUUAGCAAAUAAGUUACAAAUUAUGGUAACAAGAAACCACUGGUGUCACAAAAAUAUGCAACUUAUGAAUCUGGGUAUUGUUCAAAUGAUAGUUGAAAAAUAUAGUUUUGAGUGUUAGAGAAAAAAAAAAAAGACGAAAUAAAUUUGUUCAAUAUUAUAUCUACAUAUGGAUGUAGGGUUGGCAUUACUAGUUUUAUAUAUGCUUUCCAAUUUGUUUUCUAUAUUAUCAAUCACUUGUCCACACCUCUCUUGUCUCACAAAUCUUCUUUUGAAUAACUAAGUAACACAUUACCAAAUUACUCUACUAUUUGUAUCUUUGGUUCUAAACCUUAUGCAACACCUAUGGCCUCUAGAAUCGUGCUCUUUAUUAAUUAAAGACAGUACUCCUCUCUCGGACCCCACUCUGUAUAUAAAUCUUGUUGGGUUUUAUAGUAUUGCACCAUUACUUGCCUUCACAUUUCUUUUAAUGUUGAUAAUUUAUGUCAAUUCAUUCAUGCUUUAACUCACAUUCACUUUUAGAUAGUUAAAUGACUUCUUUGGUAUCAUAAGGGGGUUGUUCAUUUCAUGGUCUUACUCUUCAUGUAGCCUAUUUUUUGGAUCUUUUGUUUAUUUUGAUACAUGCCGGUAUAGUUGCCGGAAGAAUCAUUGGAGUACAAUGGCUAUUGUGCUUUCUUUGGAAAUAGUUUUGCCUCUUGAUAUGCUAGUAAACAAAAGGUGGUCUCUCAAUCUGGUAUUGCAUUUGAAUAACAUAGUUGCAUUUGAAUACCAUGUUAUUUACAAAUACUACCUCAAAAUUGGUUUGAAUUCAAUUCAUGUUUUUCCCUUAUUCCAUACACCUUUUAUAUUGUGUGACAAUUUAAGUUCAACCUAUUUGGCUAUGAACCCUAUUUCACAUUCUCAUAUCAAAUAUGAGGAUAUUGACUUCCCCUUAUGCAUAAUCGAGUACUUCAACAAAUCAUUAGAUGUCAAGUUCGUGUCUUUUACUCAUCCAUUGGUAGAUGCUAUAACUAAGCCACUACCUACUCAAAUUCUUAGGUCUUUAUCCCAAGCUCUUAGUUCUUCCAAGACAUUGAGCUUGUAAGGAAUGCUAGAAUAUAGGUCAACUAGCUCAACAUUCUUUUUAUCUUGUUAUAAUGAAAAUUAUAGAAUCUUGUUGGAGUAAGUUAUGUAAUAACCAAAAGUGGUAAUAACUAGGGAAUGAGCUCUUUGAAAGAGGGCAUUCAAAGAAGGAAAAAUACCCUCAUGUUCUUUAUGAGUAUGUAGAUUGCACAUUAAUAUUAAAUACAGAUGUGAAGUUAUAAUUAUAUAUAUAUAUAUAUAUAAAGGAGUACAAGUGCAUAGAGAUGGCAAUGGGACAGUUUGGGAUGGGUGACCCAUCCCAAUCUCAUCUCAUUUAUUCAAAAUAAUUUUCAUUCCUAUUGAUUCAUGCCCAGUUGGUGUAUCAGCUGAUUCAUGUCCAACUGGUGCUCCUUGAUGGAGGGAGUAAUCAACAAUAUUUAUAACCUAUUACACCAUGAACUAAGGUAGCAAAGACAAAGCUACUAUAGUAUAAUGGUUCUAGGAUUGUUCACUAGGAAGGGUUUCCAAAUUACAAAUGAUACCAAUUCAAAGUGAAUUGGUGCUGUUUCAUUUCAAGGUUAACUUAAGAAAUAAAACUCAAACCUUGAUUGGUAAAGAUUUAGAUUCAAACUAACUAACAAAACAAGUAAUGGGAAUAACUUAGGAAGAAAAACAUUCCUUAGAGGGUCAAGUUCACUAGGGUGGUUCCUCGUGCAAAAGACAUAGCUCCGGUCAGAUGGUUCAUUUCCUUGCAUUAAAGAUUCAACAUAUAGUCAAUUCUCUAACCGGUGUUGUACAGAUACAUCUUUUAAUUAGAUUUCAACUUUAAUUCUCUCACUGAUGCAACUUGCAAUGGUUCAAACCUCUCACUAAGCCUUAACCAUUCAAGGUGAUCUUUAACCUUGGACUUCCCUUCUCAAGCUCGCAAGAGAUAACUAAUGGAUGUCUCCUUGGAGUCCAAAAGCUUACCAAGUGUUGGCAAUUCCAGAAAAUCCUACCUUAAAGUCACCUCCUAGAGGCUCACAAGGGGUAAACUAGUGCAUCUCCUUGGUUGGAGAUCACUUGCCUUACCAAGUGUUGGCCCAGGUGACUCUAAGGUGUUUUAAGUUAACUAAAAACAUAGAAAUCACUAAAGGAUUUCACUUCCUCUUCAUUAAUGGCUGAAACCACAAAGCUUUGCAUUCUUGCACUUGGAACCUUCCCCGGCAACCUUAGCUCCAAGGAACUAAAGGUUUAGUUACUCAUUCUCUGGGGAAAAUUCCUCAGAGAGUGCAUAACUUAGUAAGAAAUAAAAAAUACAAAGUGAGAAGGUAAGGCAAAACAAAGAGCCUGAACUUUACUUGCUUUCAAACUUUUACAAAAAGGUUCCUCCUCCUGAGAACAGGCUCUCGAGAGGUAUUUAUAUAAACAUAAUACAAAACUAAUUAUUACAUGGAUAUUUACUCUUUUUCCUAACUUAAAAGCUAAGGAAUCUUGUAAUUGGUGGCUUACAAGGAGAAUUUUGGGAUUUAGACAACAAAAAUCUGAUGGAAAAUAUCUCCCAAUGUUAGUAGCAAAUAUCGGGACGCACUAAGGACCAUUUCGCAAGAGAAAAUGAUGUCUGCGAGAUUUCGCAGACACACAAAAAGGGCUGCGAGAUCACUUCGCAACAAAAGGUUAUUCUCGCAGGGCUGCGAAGUUGGCUUUCAUCUUGAGGUUCUCAGCUUCCAACUUGUCGCAUAUAUCGGGCAACUUCAGGAGGAAAUCCACCACACUAUACAAAAAGGCUGCGAAAUCACUUCGCAACAAAAGGUUAUUCUCGCAGGGCUGCGAAGUUGUCUUUCAUCUUGAGGUUCUCAGCUUCCAACUUGUCGCAUAUAUCGGGCAACUUCAGGAGGAAAUCCACCACACUGUACAAAAAGGCUGCGAAAUCACUUCGCAACAAAAGGGUGAUUUCGCAACACUUUUUGUAAAAUGCUUUCUUCAGCUUAGAGUGAUUGACUUGCAGUGACUGUAACUUCUUCGUUUCAACUCCAAAAUGUGCACCGUUUGAAGCAUUGGAUUGUUGACUUCCUGAGCUUUGAAAUGACAUAUAGCAUGCAUCAAUUGGACUUUAGAAAGUGCUCCAAAAGUGGCUGACACGACUGUCAUCAAGAAUAUGCUUCAUGGCAGAUUCUCUUUACUUCUUCUCCUUGCAUUCCGGAUUUACUUAUGGCAAAGGACUUCAAAGCUUCGGUUCUUCAUGUUUCUGAGCUUCCAAUUGCUUUGCCCAAGAUUCCAUAUAACUCUCCUCAAUCUCGGAUUGCUUUGGUGAUCAAAAGGCUAUCAAAACACCAAAACUUAACAUAAUUUGAUUAGAAUUGAUUGCAAGGGUCCUUAACAUGUUAAUUGGGUUAAAAGGCAAUAACUACUACUCAAAAGUGUUUAAAAGAGUUUAUUAUAAGCUAUGAAAUAGCACUUUUUGAGUAGUAAUCACCUAUCCCAAUUAAAAAAUUAAAUGGAAUGGGUGUGGUAUAAAUUAAGGUGAGGUGAGAUAGGACAAGACAAUAUUUGAAAUCACCUUGAACCUAUCUUGGGUUUUUAAAAAUCUCAAACUUGUUAAUAACCUAUUUAUUUAAAUUUUAAAUUCCCUCCAUUAAAGGCAAGGCAGAGUAGGUACCCAAAAAAAAUCCACCCAUUGUCAUCCCUACAAGUGCAUAUUAAAUAAAUUAAGGGUUAAUUGGUUAAAGCGGUCAAAAUAACCUCCAUAUUUGCAAAUAUAACCCAUCAGUCAAAAAGCAAAAAGGUUGACCUGGUUGAGACAAAAAUACCCUUCUUUUUUCUCUCCAACACAUACAACUUCUCCUCUUCUGCUUCAUUUACAGAACGACUCCUCAUAUUUUCCAAAAAAAUUCUCUCAUCAUCUUCUUCUACUUCAUUAUCUUCCUUUGGUGCACAAAACGGAAAUGUCAUCUCCUCUUCCGCUUCAUUUAUAGAACGAGUUCUCAUCUUUCAUCAUCUUCUUCCUUUGAUGCACAAAACGAAAAUCUCAUAUUUCCUUCAAAAACCCUAGAAAAUUUCUCGUUUAUCCUCUCAUCCUUUGUUUCAUUCCGAAUCCUUGGAAAAAUUAUUAUUCUAUUUUUUUUCAAGUUAUCUCAUAUUAUAUUUUCAAGCACGAAGGAAACAAUGAGUUCAUUGAAAAGUGAUAGGAGAAAAAGAUUUUUAAAAGUGGCAAAAAAUCAAAAAUGGCAAUUACGAACAGAAGAAAAAAGUGAAGCAGAAGAAAGUGAAGCAAAGGAAAGCGAAGCUACUUAGCAAAAAUCUCAAUUACCAAUAGAAGAGGCAAGUGAUUCUGCUAAACCGGUGAGUGUAGUCUUCACAUUUGAUAAAUUAUUGAAAUUUUUAGAGAUGUUAUACAAUAAUAUUUUAGUAUGGUUAAGUUUAUUAGUUAAAUGCACACACAAAAAAAAAAGAUUUAUUGAAUUGUAUUCAAAGUAUAAAAUUGUUAUAUUUAUAUAUAUAUAUAUAUAUAUAUUUUAGUUCUCCAUUAUUAUCAGUUAUGUAUUUUGAGUGAAUAAAUUUAAGUUUGUUAGCUGACAUUUGAAAAUAUUUGGGAACUAUUAUAGUGUGUUGAAAAAUAAUAAAUUGCAUAUUAAUAUUGUUUUAGUUUUCUGUAUUAUUAUCAAUCAUGUGUUUAGAGUGAAGUGAUAUAUUCAAUAUAAUAACAUCUAAUUAGGGAUAAGUUUACAGAUAAUUUAUGAAAUUUUAGGGAUUUUUGGAAAUUUUAGGGAUAUUAUACAUUGGUGUUUUAGUAUGUUUAUGUUCCAAAUGCAAGCAGAUGAUAUUCUUGUUGACUAUGUUAAUGGGCUUCACCCAAUUCCUUCCAUGAAAUGGUCUAAGGUGGACAUCGUCUAUGUCCCUAUUAAUGUCUGAAGUAUGCGUUAGGUAUUGGGAGUAAUUCACCUUGCUCAGAGGAUAAUAUUUGUGUAUGACUCAUUGAUAGGAAUUAAUAGUGAUAAUCGACUAAAAGGUGAUAUAAUACCUUUAGCUAAAGUGUUACUACGUAUUUUGCAUGCUACAUCAUAUUAUGAGAAGAGUGGCAAUCCUAAGAGUGAAGAACAGUGGGACAUUGAACAAUUGCAUGAUGUUCCUCAACAAGAGUAUGAGUAAGUAAACAAAUAUCCAAACUUCAUCUUAUCAUUUCACCUUUAUGCCUUAUACAGUAAAUUUUUUUUAGUCAUCUUAAUUUUGAUUAUUUGUGUUUAUGCAAUGGUGAUUGUGAGAUGUUCCUAAUUAAAUAUGAAAAAUACUUAAGGCAUGCUCAUCCAUUCAGCUCAUUGACCGGUGCCCGCAUUAAUUGGUUUAGAGAGAAAAUGGCAACUGAAUUGUUCUACUUCAAAAAUUUACCCAUGUAGUGGGUUUCAUUUUGAUUGUGUAAAAGGUUUAUAUGUUGUUGAGUGUUGACUGUUAUUUUGGAUGAAUUUGACUUGAUGCUCAAAGUUACAAUUUUUGUAAUGUAACUAUAAUUGUCAACUUAACUAUAGUUAAGUUAUUUGUUAAUGCAAUUCAACAAUUAUUAAGUUCAAGUGAAUAUUCUGAGUGUGAAUUUAACCUCAAUUAAGUUCUUUAUUAAUGCAACUCAACCAUUGUUAAGUUCAGGUGAUAAUUCUAACUGUAAACUUAAUUGUGGUUAAGUUUUUUGUAAAUACAACUCAACUACUGUUAAAUUCAGGUGAAAAUUCUAACUAUGAACUUAACUGUGGUUAAGUUAUUUAUUAAUGCAACUCAACUACUGUUAAGUUCAGGUGAAAAAAUAAACAAAAAACUUAACCACAAUUAAGUUCUUUAUUAAUGCAACUCAACCAUUAUUAAGUUCAGGUGAAAUUUAUGACUGUGAAUUUUCUUACCAUUAUUUGACCUUGUCAUAUGGAUAAAUCUUUUCAACUUCUUUUAAAUGAACUUUUCACUUUUUCAUAACUAACAAUGGAGUCUCUAUUUUUUACCAACAAUGUUGAAGUCAGAUUUUGAAUUUUCAAGAAAUAGAAAGAAAUAAAAUGAUAAUAUAAAAAAGAAAUUGUUGGUUGUUUACAUUUAUUUUUUCAUAUUUUCGUGACCAAGAAUGAAGAAUAGAUGAAACAAUGGUAAGAAGUUAAACUUGUUCUCUGCAAGAAAAGAGAGAGAAUGAGCAACCAAUGAUCGAAUAAAAAAAUUAGAACCUAAUCUGCUAUAAAACAAAGGGAAAGGGAAAAGAGAAGUUGUAUAUGUUAGAGAGAAAAAAGGACAUUUUUGUCUCAACUGGGUUAACUAUUUUGCUUUUUGACUGAUGGGUUAUAUAUGCAAAUAUGGGGGUUAUUUUGACCCAUUUAACCAAUUAACCCAUAAAUUAAUGUGGUGGCUCUAAUGGAGACAUGCUUAGAAUAUGAUAUGAUGGGAGUAUGAGUAUAUAUGCAAAACAUAGAAGAAUAUAGAACGUAUGAAUAAAUGUAACUUUUGAGUGUGAGAUCAUAACAAAUUGGGUGCAGCAUAUAAAAAUAUAUUGCUUUAAGAAUUCUGGUGGGCUGAGUGUUUUGGUAUAGGAAUUAUUGGAGAGAAUAUGGAAGGCAAAAAUCUGGAAUAUUUUGGAUAAAUGAAAACUCACUUGUUGAUACAAACUCACUUGGUGGUCGUAGAAUUCCAAAUUGAAGUGCAGCACCUUAAUAUUUUUGGACAAGAGGUAUAAAUAGGAGUCAUACCUAGAACAUAGUGUAAAUAUACAGUGUAAAGUAGUAAAUAAUCUUAAAUAUAUAUACUAUAUUUGAUUAUAUGUUAAAAAAAAUGAUUUUCUCAUAUUUGGUUUCAUCAUAGAAAAUACGGAAAAAAUAUCAAAUAUAAUUAAAAUUAAUUAAAAAUUUAAACAUUUUAAAAUUAUUUCAUAUUUACAUAGAAGGAGAAAAGGAAUGAAACACGUUUGAAUUAAUAUAUUAAAAUGAAUUAAUGAUUUUAAUUUUUUUUUUUUCAUUUUUUUUCUUUUCUUUAACUUUUCCUUUAUUUUCUUUCUUGUAUCUUCCCUUCAAUUUUCCAGAAACCAAACAUAGUUAAAAUAAACAUUUAAUUUGAAUUUCCUAAAAUAACCUAAUGGGAAUUUAAUUUAUUUUACUAUUUUGCAUUAAUUUAUGAAAUAUCUAUUUUUCUGUCCAAAUUUAGAAAUUUUUUUUUUGUAUUUUUGUAAAUUUUGUACAUGAAAUUUAUUCAUUCAAUUACACUAACAUUUAUAAGACAGUAUACAUCCUUAUCUGUAGCAUAAACUUUUCUUUCCAUUUUCACUAGUGUUCUUAACAGGCUAUGUUCAGACCCAACAAAUCCACUCAUGGUUCUUCCUUGGCAACUACGGAUCAUUGAAAACCAAAUCUCAAUGCUCCAUGCAUGAACACAAUCCCUCCAUUCGAGUCAGGUCUCUGAUGUGUUUGUGCCCAUGGCUGUGGUACCAUAAGCACAAAUUCAUUUCUGAGAAUGAAACAAGCAACCAAACGGACCCCAGGAUACUUCAGUUUGAGAUUUUGACUGGGAUUUUUCGGAAGAUCAUCCCUGAUUUGAAUUUUCAUGGCUCAAAACAUUCCCUAGAUUACUCAGCCUCCAUUAACGCUCAUUUCUCAAUGAAAGCAAAAUGCUGAAGUUUACCAACCCAGGUUCAAACUUAGUACACUUGUCAUAUGAUGCAGGACUGAGCUAAUUCAAAACUGUUCCAUCUCAUGUGGCAAUCCUAAAGUCAUAUUGCUUCCUUCCAGCAUUACAGAACAAAACUCAAAAGGUAAAAGCAAAGCAAAACUCAUUCUGUGUCGUAUCAUGCUGAACUUAGGAACUAAAAUAUCUAUGGUUAAACACCUGGAAAGUAAUAACUCCAUGGUUCCCUAGGAUGGGAUCAGUCCAAGUCUCAGGAAUUUGAAAAAGAUUUUAUGUGCCAGCAUGAAAAUAAAAUUUAGGCCCAAAGAUCCCUGACCAAGUUAUCUUGGCCUUCACAACCCUCUCCCAGCACAUUAUCAAGGGUAUCUACUUUGUUUCCCGAUGGAUAUUUAGACCAGCUUUCACUAAAAUGGUUUUGGGGAUCAAGCAGAAAGUACAAAAUAGAUUGUAUGCCAUUCUAAAUAGAAUGCAUGUCACACCAGGACUGCAAUUUGAUCAUGAAAAUUGACAGAGAUCAUCUCACCUAGAAGUAUGAAUUUCUAUAAAAUUUACAAUAAUUCCUGCUCUCCUGCAGACAAGUGUACUGAGACAAAAACCAAAAACAAAAAGAGGAGUAUAGUUUUCACCUAUAGAACAACACCGGUGCUUAACUUGUAUUCACUAGCAAACAAGGCAAAAGGUGCUCACUUCUCAGAAACAUGUUCUAUUUCUCCUUCUUUACAAGUAGUGAUCAGGACCCAAUAACAUCCUUUGUAGGAAUGCUGAUCUCAACCUGCUCAAAUGUUGAAGCUCUUGCAGAAGGUUUAUGUAACCAGUCAAGGUUCUUCCUGGACCUUCAGCCAUAUAUCUUUCAAAGCUAAGCCUAAGUGCUUCAUGAAUAGUAUAGCCCAUAUCGUAACCAGUUCUUCCAAAUGUUUCCACAGCAUGAUUGAAGUAUCCAUCAAAGAUCCAUUCAUUGCUGACAGAGAUUGUUAAAGGUAACCCCAUAUGCCUUGGGAUGCCAUUCAUAUUUGCUAAAAUAUUUCUUCCAGGACCUCUGUAAUCAGAUGAACCUGGACACUGCUGCAUUUGCAUUAGAUUAAUUUGCUGAGAUCCUCGGUGAUUUAAAUCAGAGUGGCACACGAUUCUGGACAUUUUCAUAGCAGUGGGGGAGAAUCUGAAUUUGAAAGUACUGCAAGCUCCCAAACGGAAGGGCUCAUCACAUCUUGAACCAGCUCCUCUCUUAUUGUUAUAGCCUGGGUAGUCCUCUUUCUUAAAAUCAACACACUCAAACAGCACCAGAGAGUUUUGAGAAGCAAGUUCCUCAAGAUUCCAGUGGGAAAAUGGAGCUGUGGUUUUGUGAUUUACAUGAAUUUCACCAUUGGCUCUUAGCAUGCCACUUGCAUUCCUGAAGAAACCAUGCACAAGAUCCCUAUGCAUACUGUAGCAUAAGAUGGGAUGACAACAUAAGUACAAUCCACACAGAAUUAAUAAAGAAAUCAGCCAUUCUAUAAAAGCCUUAGGUACAACUAGAUUGAACCAUUUGAAAUCAGCAGAAAACAAUGCAUCAAAGAUACUCGUAUUCCUUUUGAUUUUUUUUUUUUUUUUUUGGUUGUCAGACACACUGGUAGAAAAUAUUAUCAGAUGAUGAUGUCUAUAAUUAAUUUACCUGUGAUAAUGAAAAUUUUCUUCUACAUAUUUGUAUCUUUGAUAUAUAUUCUACCACUUCAAAAGAGAAACCCAGCACUCCCAUCAUUUGGAAGCAAAGGCACAAUAUUUCUGGUGCACCUGUAUAGCAGUUAAUCUUGUUUUAAGGUUGUAAGUUAGAUGCCUAGCAUCUGAGCUGAAGACCAGCACAUGGGCCAAUGCCCAUGGUACAUGAUAGUAACAACUAGAAUUCUUGAAAAUACUAUGAAGACAAUAACUGAUUCAGUUACAUGUAGGGUUCCAAAUACCCCACCCCCCCCCACCCCCCCAGUUCAAUCCUUUGCUGCCCUGGCUUUUGUGAUGGAGACUUUGUCCAUCAACAUGUAGAAGCUGAAAUUAUAACAUAAUCUCAGUAUGGAGGCAUUGGAAACCUACACAUGACCAUGUAGAUGUGAUUCAUUUGCCAAUACGAUGAAUCAUACUGCACUUGUGCAGACUCAUGGCUANNNNNNNNNNNNNNNNNNNNNNNNNNNNNNNNNNNNNNNNNNNNNNNNNNNNNNNNNNNNNNNNNNNNNNNNNNNNNNNNNNNNNNNNNNNNNNNNNNNNNNNNNNNNNNNNNNNNNNNNNNNNNNNNNNNNNNNNNNNNNNNNNNNNNNNNNNNNNNNNNNNNNNNNNNNNNNNNNNNNNNNNNNNNNNNNNNNNNNNNNNNNNNNNNNNNNNNNNNNNNNNNNNNNNNNNNNNNNNNNNNNNNNNNNNNNNNNNNNNNNNNNNNNNNNNNNNNNNNNNNNNNNNNNNNNNNNNNNNNNNNNNNNNNNNNNNNNNNNNNNNNNNNNNNNNNNNNNNNNNNNNNNNNNNNNNNNNNNNNNNNNNNNNNNNNNNNNNNNNNNNNNNNNNNNNNNNNNNNNNNNNNNNNNNNNNNNNNNNNNNNNNNNNNNNNNNNNNNNNNNNNNNNNNNNNNNNNNNNNNNNNNNNNNNNNNNNNNNNNNNNNNNNNNNNNNNNNNNNNNNNNNNNNNNNNNNNNNNNNNNNNNNNNNNNNNNNNNNNNNNNNNNNNNNNNNNNNNNNNNNNNNNNNNNNNNNNNNNNNNNNNNNNNNNNNNNNNNNNNNNNNNNNNNNNNNNNNNNNNNNNNNNNNNNNNNNNNNNNNNNNNNNNNNNNNNNNNNNNNNNNNNNNNNNNNNNNNNNNNNNNNNNNNNNNNNNNNNNNNNNNNNNNNNNNNNNNNNNNNNNNNNNNNACUGUUUCCCAAAAGUAUACAGGGCUAAGGACUACAAGAUUAGAGUAUAGUACACAAGUAACGAGUUGAUUCCAAUACAUAUAAAAUACAAGAAAAGGGAAAGAGAGAGACCGUAUGGGUCGAGAGAAGAAGCAACGAUGUUGGAAGCAGAAGCAAAAGAGUGAGCCAAACACAGAGAGAAAGAGAAGUCUCCUUCACCAACCAAGAGAAUUUGAUGAAACGAGGAAUAAUGCAUCAACCGUUUCUCUUGUUCUUCCACACCCACUUCAUCUUUCACCAUUUCCUCCCCGACAGCCAUUGACGCUUUCUACAGUUACAGAACCAGAGAGACUCACUGAGAGAGAAAGGUAGUGAAAGUUUGGCCGUGUUUAAAGGGCUUAUUUGAAAAAUAGAGAUUAUUUUCAAAUAGAAAUAUUUGGGCUGAAUUUACCGAGAUGCCACUGUUACCUGGAUGCUGCAAGCAGUGGGAUUGUCUCGUUUGUGAGCGAUGGAGCUUGGGAGGGGCAUUUUGGGAAUGGAAGAUGCAUGGCAUGGUCGCCCAUUAAUGGUGGCCUGCCCUAACAUUGGGGAGUUCAAGCGUCCUUAAGCUCGGCUCAUAUGGCUUCUGACGGUGCAGAUUAAAAGGGCUGGGGGAAUUACUUUCCUUUUUGGGUUUUUUUUUUGGGAAAAUUGUGUUUUGGCCUAGCUGGGCCCAAAAAUUAAUGUAUGAUUCAUAUAAGUUUCAUAUUUAAGCCCAACACCCAAUGAAAGAGUGAAAAUUAAGAGUAAGGAUAUUGUCUUUAAAAAAUCCCUAAAACGCCCUUAACUAUUAAAUGAAAAAAGUAACCACUCACCUCACCUUUCUCAUUCUCUCUUUGACUCUUUUGCCCUUCUCUCACCUAUUUAAUAGUGGAACCAACUUGAAUUAUUUUUCUUCCUCAAAUAUGAAAGAUGGUUAAAAAUUAUUAUUAUCAAAUAUAUUUUUGAAGUAAAUAACUUUUAAAUACCUCAUCAAAUAUUAUUAUUUUUUUCAAACUUACAUAAUAUAUAAUAAAUAUUUUUUAAAUAUAUUGAAAACUUACAUAAUAUAUAGUAAAUAUCAUUCUUUAUUUCAAACUUAUAUUAUUUCUCAUAUAUAUUAAAUAAUUUUUAAACACCUCAUAAAAUAUUAGUAUUAUUUGUUUACUCCAACUUGUAAAUUAGAUAUCAUCAAAUAUUAUAUUUUUUUUAAAUUUAUAGAACAUAUAAUAAAUACUUUUUAAAUACCUCAUAAAAUAUUAUUAAUUUUUUUUUCUAACUUGCAAAUUAGACACAUGGUGUUUAUUAUUUUUUCAAAAAUUAUGUAAACACUCACAUGCAUAUAUAUAAUAUUAAUCAAGAAAACAAUAUUUUUAAGACUAAUUUACCAACCUUCCAAUAAUUUUGAAAGUGUAAAUAGAGUAAUUGGCCGAAUUAAAGUCUUCAAAAAUAUUCAAAAUUUCUCCAUUCCAAAAUUACCUAAUUGCUCUCCACACUAAUUCUAAAUAUUUUUGAAUAAAGAUUUAAAUAUUUAAAACCAUUAAAUAAAUACUUUCUUAUUAAAGCAAUUUUUUCAAAGUAAUAUGAUAAAAAUCAUGAAAUCUUCAAAACUAUAAUUACAACAAAUAUUUUUUAAUUUUAAAACUAAUUUCAUAAUUUAAAUUAAUGAUUUAAAAAAAUAAAAAUGUUAUAAAAAUAAUUUUUAUUUAUUUAUAAUUUCAUUUAAAUAUGAUUUUUUUAAUCUCUAUUGAUAACAAUGAAAUUAUGUUUAUAAAGGCAAAAUAGUAAAAAUAUAUAUUUCAUUUAGUUUACUUAUAAUGAACAAUUCAAAUAUGAUUGAUUUUAAUUUUAUUUCCUAUGUGUUAAUUUUUGUAGGGAAUGUCUUAAUGACAUAGUUUGGUAAAAAAAGAAAAAAAAAACUAUCAAUAAUCGUCUUAAAGUCAAAUUCAAGUUAUUUAAAAAUCGUACAAAACCUAUUAGGAGCCUUGUACACCCUUGUACACUUAGCACAUUUCCCUUGUACAGUUAGUGUAAUACCUUUGUACAAUGACACAAAUUUCAUAUUUAUCUUAAGUUAUAUGUUCAUAUAGGUGUAUUAAUAAUAUUUUCAAUGGUUUGGUUAAGAAAAUGAUGGAUGACUUAGGAUCAAAUUUUUUUUCCCCAAAUAUCAUAAUUAGGGAAAAUAUUAGAAUUUUCAUGUGAGAGUUAAAUAAAAUGCAUGACAUAGACGUACAAUCUUUGGGUGACAAGGAAAAUAAAAAAGUGGUUUAGAAUUGAUUAAAAUAAUUCACAAAGGGUAAUCUUGUACACCUUUGUACAAUUAGUACAUUUUCCUUGUACAGUUAGUGUAAUACCCUUGUACAAUGACACAAAUUUUAUAUCCCUCCUAAGUUAUGUGUCCACGUAGGAAUGUUUAACCAUAUUUUCAAUGAUUUAGUUGAGAAGAUGGUAGACGAUUUAAGGUCAAUUUUUUUUUCUCCAAAUAUUAUUAUUAGGAAAAAUAUUGGAAUUUCCAUGCGGGAAUUAAAUAAAGUGCAUGACAUAUGUGUACAAUUCGUGAGUGAUAAAAAAAAAUAAAGGAAUGACUCAUAAUCAAUUAUAAUAUUUCAUAAAUGGUAGCUGUCACACCCUCGAAAAUCACCCUAAAAUUUUCACUUGGUGCGUGGUGCUAAGGACCCUUCCUUAGCCAACCUUCCUGCCCAGCCUUCUCAAAACGCACACAAAUAGUGGCAAACCAAAGAAAACAGGGACACAACGAGGUUACAGGAAAUCCUUCCCAACUUGUAUUAAUCUUAACUACAAGAUACAAAAUUGUUUCCCUGAGUCAGAGAGCAAUGCUUACAUCCUAAGCAUUCAGAGACACUUUCCCUCUUCUCUCCCUCUCUCAAGGUUGCAGGAGCCCUUUUAAACGACUCACCCUGCAGUUUUUCCCUUGGUGGUUAUGCAACCGCCCAUAACCCUCCCUGAAGCGCUUGCACAACCACCCACUACCCAGAUGGUGGUCUCUCUAAAAACUGCCACGUGGCUUCCUCUCUCUUGGACACGCAGACGUCCCCCUUUCGACGCGUGGCAUCACUCAUUCCACCCGGACGGAAAUUCUCCCUCAUUCCACCCGAACGGAAACUCUCCCUUAUUCCACCCGGAUAUAUCACAUCCGAAAUCCUGUCCGCUGACAUUCCAUCCACCCGGAUAUCUCAUAUCCGGAAUCCUGUCCGUCGACAUUCCAUCCACCCGGAUAUCUCACAUUCGAAAUCCUGUCCACCGACAUUUCCAUCCACCCGGAUAUCUCACAUCCGGAAUCCUGUCCGCCGACAUUUCCAUCCACCCGGAUAUCUCACAUCCGAAAUCCUGUCUGCCGACAUUCCAUCCACCCGGAUAUCUCACAUCCGGCGCUUGUCACCGGAUGGGAGAGGAGGAUGAUUCAACUUCCCCGGAUAGACAUGUUCGGAUCCUUCGGUAAUGCUUAUCCGGAGAACAUCCGUGGCCAACGAUUCAGAUUCCCCGGAUAGCUUGGCUUGUCAGAUACUCGCGACUCGCCAGAUCCACCUUAGCUCCUAGGGUUUGAACCACCAAAACUCCAGGCUUUCCUUGCUUUCCGCCUAGGCUCUCAUGGGUACAAGGCCUACCCAUGAGGCCUAUUUCUCCGGGUCUGAAUCAAGUGGCUAAGGGGCUGACGGUAGCCUUGUACACCUUUGUACACUUAAUACAUUUCCCUUAUACAGUUAGUAUAAUACAAUUGUACAGUGGCGCAAUAAAUGAAUAAAUAAAAUUUAUUAUUUUUUUAUUUUCAUAUAAAAAAAUAGUACUAAACAAGGUGUAGACCCCCAUUUAGGCAUGGGUCACUUUUUCUCUAUUUUUGUUUUUGCAGAUCACAUUUUUAACCAGGUGUCACUAUCCCAGUGGGCCACGUGUCACAUCCUUAGUGGCCAUAAGGAAUCAACCUCGCUUUUUGAAGCUGCAAUAGGACUUUGACACUUGGAGGAACUUUUUGGAGGGGGGUCCCGCAGGCUGUUGGGUAGCUAUAGAAGGAGUGGGACAGGAAAAGGUGGUUGCAGCAGAGAUCGUGGGAAAGGCAAAUCUGAGAGAGAAAGGAAGAGAAAAGAGGAAAACAGGAAAAUGAGGGAAAAGAGAGGAGAUAUUGGGGAAGCAGUAGAGAGAGUGAGAGGUGUUUUCCAUGAUCGUUUGAGAAGGAUUUUUGAGCAGAGCACCCACAAAAUAUGAAACAGUGAGUUGGAAGCCUCAAAAUAUCCAGCAGAGAAAGGGAUUUCCAAGUAUGUUUAUCAAUCCUCUAUAUCUUUUAUUGACAUUUGAAUGCUCAGUGAUUUGUUUGGGGUGGAUAUUAAAGGCCACUUGUUUGUUUGUUGGGAUGUAACCAUCUGUUUGUGCUUGCUAUUGUGAAUAUAAAUUUGGUUUGCCUCUAUUGUGAUUAUGAAAUGCCCGAGAAUCACGCCCAUGGUAGCUUUUGAUAUGAUUUUCCCACCUGCUCAGAGGACUCAUUGAUGAUUCAUGAAGUGAAGUCUCUGUAGUUUUAUCUAUUUAUUCGUUUUCUUUGGUGCUCUGUUUUUUUUCCAUCUUCCUCUGUUUCUGGCGCCUGUUCAUGGAAUGGGUUGUUUCUCUGAUCCCUGCUUGAAGGGGAUCCUAGAAAAUCUGGAGUAGUUGUCAUGGCAGCAAAGCUCACCUCAUCAGCAUCCCUAUACCCAUCGUUCAUCUAUCCACCUUUCUCUCUAGAUCUUCAUACCCAUUUCCUCACUCAAGCUUGCAGGAAUCAGGCAUCCUCCACUGCACCCAUUUUCCUCUCAUUCAUUCUCCAUCCCACUCCUCCACUUACAUGGGGUCUCACGGGUACGUGCUAUCCUUCACUCUUUCGCAUACCCAUUAAAACCACUCACUCAAGCCUCCAUAUCCAUACGGCCCACCAAACCCGUUUCUCUCUUUAAACUUUCACCUAUCUGUGGGAUCCUCCCUAAAAAAAUGCCACAUGGCUCUCUCUCCCGUGUGCAAGCAGGCGGCCCCUUUGCGACGCGUGGCAUAGCUCAUUCCACCCGGACGGAAAUCCGCCGCCAUUCCAUCCGGAUGUCUCACAUCCGGAAUCCUUCUCCGCCGCCAUUCCAUCCAGAUGUCUCACAUCCAGAAUCCUUCUCCGCCGCCAUUCCAUCCGGAUGUCUUACACCCGGAAUCCUUCUCCGCCGCCAUUCCAUCCGGAUGUCUCACACCCAGAAUCCUUCUCUGCCGCCAUUCCAUCCGGAUGUCUCACACCCGAAAUCCUGUCCCACUGCCAUUCCACCUUCUCCGGAUGUCUCACAUUUUAAAUUCUCAUCCUUAGGGUUUCAGGUCCUAAAAAUCACAUUUUUAAUAAAAAUUGGUUGCCACUUUCUUUCUGGCAAGCCAUUUUCACACCUUCUCUGUUUUAAAAAAUGUUUUGAAAUAAGCAAAGAAUCCAAUUUUGUAAUUCUGAAUAAUGGAAUUUACGGAUUUGGUCCAUGCAAAAAUAAACGAGCUAUGGUGGGGGCCCGACAUCAAAUAAGUUUCCUUUAAAAUAAAAACGGAAUUGAAUGAGAUACCAUGCAUGAUAUUGGUACUCCUUUAUCUAGUUGGAUGAUAUGAGUGAUAUACUUUAUGUUCAUUACUAUGCACUAACCCUAAUUUGUGAUAGCGCGUUGUCGUUUGCUGAUCAGGUACGCAUCCGCUUCCACUUUGGUUAUUCUCUAUGUAUAUUCUGAUUCUCAUAUGUGCAUGAUAGUUUCGGGUACUCAUUGAUUUCCUCAUCAAUUGCCAUGUUAGCUUCAUUUUAUUAGUAGAGACCCGACUUUAGGGACUUAGAGGGGUGCUACGGUCUUUACCGUACCUUCCCGAUAAGUAACCUGACCCCCGAACCCGAUCCGGUUUUUCGCAGAUCACCUUUUCCAAAUAAGGAGUCACACUUAGGGUUUUCUUUCUUAUUUUGUUUACCCUUUAAAAAAAUAAAACAAAAAUAAGUGGCGACUCCAAGUUAUUUUUUUUUAACCGAUUAAAUCAUUUUUUCGAAAUAAAAAUCAAGAGCUCGCCAUUCGAGUGGGAAACACAUUGAGCCGAAAUGCGGGGUCCACACAAGGUUUUUAAUUUUCAUUUUAAAAAAUACUUUUCAUUUUUUAAUUAAAAAUAUUUUCAAAAAGAGACAAUAUGGAAAAUAAAAAUUAUUUUUAAAAAUAAAAAAUAAAAACUAGAAAAAUAUUUUAAAACCAAACUCAAAUAUAAUCUAUAUAAUAUUUAACUACUUGUUUUCAUCUAAAAUAAGUAAAUAUAUCUUUCAACCAUUUUAUAUAAGAAAAAUUCAAUCUCUAUUAUGUAUUGAUAUAAUCCACUUCUAAAAUUAGGUCAUAUGAAAACAUUUUAAUUGAGUACUUAAAAUAAAAACUUUCUAUCCAUCCUCUUUCUUUCUUUUUCUUUUUCUUAUUUUAAUAAAUUUUCAAUUAAUUCAAAUCAUUAAAAUAAAUCCUUAAUAAACAAAUUUGCAACAUUUCAUAUAACUUAUUAUUAAAAGUCAUGUUCAAAAAGUUAUUAAAAUAAGGAAGAAAGAAGAUUAAAAAAAAUUAAACUUUUUAUUUUAUAAUAGUAAAAAAAAACUUUAAAAUAAUUUUUAAUAUAAAAAAAAUAAAAUAGUGAAUAUAUUUAUUUUAAAUAGUAUUUUAAUCAUUAAAUUAUUUACUUCUAAAAUAUAAAAGAUAAAAAUAAAUGUAAAAUGUAAUUUUUAUUUAUUUAAAUUAAUUUUUUUCGAAAGUAUUUUCCAAAAUAGUCUUUGAAUCAUUAAUAUAAUUUUUGUUUAUUUAUAAUUUAAAAAUAAAAAAAUAAUGUUGAUUUUUCAAUUAUUUAUAAAAGAGUUUAAAAAAAUAAUGAAAAAUCUAAAAAUGGUUAAAUAAGAAAGAAUAGUGGCAUGUAAAGGGUGGUAGAAUAAAGACAAAAGUGAGUCAAAUGAAUAUUUUUGUCUAUUCCCAUCUCAUAUCCUUGUAAUCGAUUAUGGGUGUUUGAUGGACUCUUUAUUAAUUAUCAAAACCAAAUGGGUCUAAAGCCCAAUUCUCCCUUUUUUUUUUUUUGGAAAGUAUGGUAUGUAAUUACAUAAAAUUAAUUAGUAUAAAAUAAUCUUUAGAAUUGUGAAUCUAACUGUUCCAUAAUUUUAUAAAAUAACCAAUUUUUUUAUAUAAAUAUUUUUAUUAUUUCAUGUAUUCACUCCUAGAUUUUUUUUUUCUUAAAUUAUUUUUAUAAGAAAAUAGUGAGGAUGUUUUCAUCAAAAAACGAGACCAAAAAUUGAUGAAAGGUUUAGGAUCUAUUUAAUAAUUGUUUUUGAAAAUUGUUUUAAAAAUAGUUUUAAGAACAGUUUUUAAAAACUGUUUUCUAAUUUUGUAAAAUAAAAAUUUGUUUAAAAAUUUAAAAUAUUUUUAAUAUUUUUAAAUAUGUUUUAAAAAUAACUUUUAUGUCUAGUGUUUUACUUUUAAUCAUUCUAUAUAUUUGUAUAACUAUAUUUUAAAAUAAUUCUCCAAAAACAAGUGAAAACAUAAAAAAAUAAAUAAAAUUUAUUAUCCGAAAAUACCAUAUUUUUUAUUUUUAAAAACAGAAAAUAAAAAACAAUUUUUUAUUAUCAAAUACAUUUUCCUAUUUUUUUGCUCUAGAUAACAAAAAACUAUUCUCCAAAACAGUUAUCAAAUUGACUCUUAAAUUUCUAACGUUGAGUGUUCAGUAACUCUUUUAAUCAAAUAAUCCAAAUAUAUAAAUGUUUUUAAUUGAAAUAAGAAAAAAAAAUUAUGAAUUAUUAAGUGUAAAAAAUAAAAAUUAUUUGUUCACAUGUGUGAAACAUGUCUCGGGAAAAGUUUUGCAAAAUAGGGAUAAUUUGUUGUAUAAGUGAUCAAGGAAGCAAUUUAAUGAGAUUGGUCUAGAAUACAUAACCAAUGCACUGCGGGUAAGUUCAUUUUUCAAGCCACGUGUCCUACGUAUUCGUACAAUUUAGUGGCAUCUACUGAAAGAAAUUGUUAGUUUUGUGGACUUAAUAAUCGUACGCUAAGAGACGCAAGGAGAAAUUCAUGCAAAAUGUGACAUUAUUGAGCUCUGCUAUGAACCCAAUGGAUAGGACUGUUAAAUAGAGGAAGAUCAAAGGCUACAAAUGGUCGGCCAAGGGAGGAGUUCGAGCCUUAAGAGGGCUAUUUUUAGCACAUUAGCUAUGGGAGGUAUGGCUUGGGCAUGUGUGGAGACAACUUGCAUCCACAUGGCCUGAGGCAUGUAGUGGAGGUAUGUCGAAACUCAAGCAUGGUGCUGGGCUUAGAAAACAUACUUGUCAUAGAGGCUUCAACUUCCGACACGCAUAGGUCAUAAUUUGGCGCAAGUGCAAACAACAUUGUCAAGACAUGUUGUUUAACUAGAGGCAUGGGGUGCGACAAUGGCGCCCCGUGGUGGCAAACUCACAUGGACUUGAGAUAGUAAGUGUUGGAUGUUGGUGUGUGUAUGAUAGGCGGUGAGUGGUACUAGAAGCACAUAAUAUUAUCAAGACACGUUGCAUAACUAGUGUUGAAUGUUGGCAUGUGUGUGGGUAUGCGCGUGCGUUUUGGGCGAGGAGGGUUGGGCUUGUGGUCUCACUUAGGACAACCUAAGGGUGUGGGCUAUGGCAUGACACUAGCUCACACAAGGUGCUUUAGGCCUCUCCAUUGAUAAGUGUAGGGCACCACACCUUUAGAACUUACAUACACCCAAGUGCCCAAUGGUUUAAGCAGGGUAUAGCUGCAUGAAGAAAACCUGAGCAAAGCAUGACAAAUGUUAGAUGUGGGUUGUAUGGCUGCAACAAAUUGGAUUAAUGUAGGCAACUUGAUGCAUGGGUUGUUGGCAAUUCAUAAUGCAUAUAAACAAUUCAUUCAUAUGUAACUUAUGCCAUACUUACCUCCAGCCAUUGUUGGGUUGCAAGUCUUUGGUUUCCAAAACUCUAUCUCUCCUUAUGGAUGGUGUAGUUUCUGAAGAUUUUCAGCAGCAUGAGAGAGGAGCUUGGGAACAAGACCAAUAUUUAAAAUACAAAGAAAACGUGGCUUCCCAUCAAAGCCACGUUUCUCUUAUUUGCCACACGAUGAGCAGUUGAAAGAAACGUGCUCCUUAACAGCAACUACAUGAUGAAGGACGUGGCCAAGUGUUGGACUACUUCAGGGCAGCGGAACGUGGGUGGUGAACGUCGGUUAUUUGAUAACAUUCUCCCACUUGGUCCACACUUUUAACCUCAUGUCCUAUCUUAGAUCAUCAUUUUUCCGCAUUAAGUAACAAAUAUAUGAAUCAUGGCGAUAAGUACUCUAUAUAACGAGUGUUAUCUUCCAUGUAUUAUAAUGUAUUCAUUUCUUAACAUUUUACUUUAUGUGGCAAUAUUGCUUAAUGAAUAAACCCUAUGUUCAUUCUUGGUCCAAUGAAGUUGAAUUUUCUCAAAAUUAAAUAAAGGUGCACAUCAAUAUGAGAAAACAUCAUAAUAAGAGUUUGUACAAUAAAAACUACAUAAGAGAACUAAGUCCCAUGUUCAUUACAUGAUCCUUGAAUUUCAACGGUGGCAUGCCCUUAGUCAAAGGAUCAGCAAUCAUCAAUUCAGUGCUAAUGUGCUCAAUAACCACUUUCUUUUCUUUAACACGUUCUCUUAUGGCUAGAUACUUAAUGUCGAUGUGCUUGCUUUGACUUCCACUUUUAUUGUUCUUUACCAUAAAGACUACAGCUGAAUUGUCGCAAUAUAUACUCAAUGGCCUAGAUAUUGAAUCCAUAACUCUAAGCUCGGAAAUGAAACUCUUAAGUCAUACACCAUGUGAAGUAGCCUCAAAACAAGAUAUGAACUUAGCUUCCAUAGUAGAAGUAGCAGUCAUGGUCUGCUUAAUGCUCCUCUAAGAUAUAGCUCCACUGGCUAAUAUAAAAAUGUAUCCAGAUGUUGAUUUACGUGAAUCAACACAGCCAGCAAAGUCUGAAUCUGAGUAGCCAACUACCUCUAAAUUGCUUGUUCGUCUAUACAUAAGCUUGUAAUCUUUGGUUCCUUGAAGAUAUCUCAUCACUUUCUUUGCAGCUUUCCAGUGGUCUAUACCUGGGUUACUCUGAUAUCGUCCUAACAUUCCAACAGCAAAUGCAAUGUCAGGCCUUGUGCAGACCUAAGCAUACAUCAAACUUCCGACUACAGAAGCAUAUGGAAUGUUCUUCAUUUGUUCCCUCUCAAGAUCGUUUUUCGGGCAUUGGUUCAGAUUGAACCUAUCACCCUUCACUAUAGGGGAAACACUAGGUGAACAAUUCUUCAUCCGAAAUCUCUCUAAAACUUUAUUGAUAUAGGUUUCUUGAGACAAACCUAAGAUACCUUUAAAUCUGUCUCUAUGGAUCUUAAUGCCAAUGACAUAAGAUGCCUCACCCAUAUCCUUCAUGUCAAUCUUUUUAGAGAGGAAUUGUUUCACCUCAUGAAGUAAACCCUUAUCAUUGGUUGCAAGUAAGAUGUCAUCCACGUAUAAAACAAGAAAACAAACUUUACUCCCACCGACCUUAAGGUAUAUGCAUUGAUCCAUAACAUUUUCAACAAAACCGAAUGAAGAAAUUAUGUUAUGGAAUUUUAAAUAUGAUUGGCAAGAUGCUUGUUUUAAACCGUAUAUGGAUUUCUUAAGCUUACAAACCAAUUGCUCACCAUCACUAGAGGGGAAUCCUUCAGGUUAUUUCAUGUAAACCUCCUCCUCUAGCUCUCCAUUAAGAAAUGUUGUUUUCACAUCCAUUUGUUGCAAUUCCAAAUCAAAGUGGGCUACUAAUGCCAAUAUAAUGCGUAAGGAAUCUUUCUUAGAUACAGGAGAAAAGGUUUCCGUGUAAUCGAUUCCUUCUUUCUGAGUGAACCCCUUUGCAAAAAGUUUGGCCUUGUAUCUCUCAAUGUUGCCUAAUGAGUCUUUCUUUGUCUUAAAAACCCAUUUACAACCAAUGGUUUUUGCACCAUUAGGCAACUCAAUAAGGUCCCAAACAUCGUUGCACUUCAUGGAACUCAUCUCAUCCUUCAUGGCAUUGUACCAUAAUUCUGAUUCUUUACAAUUCAUGGCUUGUGAAAAUGAUUCGGGAUCAUUUUCGGCUCCUAUAUUAUAGUCAGAUUCUUGUAGAUACACUACAUAAUCACUAGGAAUUGCUGACCUCUUAGUUCGAGCAGACCUUCUUAAGGUUGCACCAAUAUCUUCCGAGGAAGUAUGAGAUUCAACUUGUUGUUCAGAAGUGUUAGGCAAAUCCUGAUCAACUUGGUCUACUGGAAUGUUGUCAACAACUUGUAGAACUUCAAUGACUGGUUGAACUUCAUCGAUUGUUCGUUCAACACCCGUUUGUACUUGAGGGGUGUUAUGAACAAUAAACAAUCUAUCGCUUGAAGUGGAAGGUUGAGACUCUGUAUGAUCAAUAUCAGAAACUAUGUUUCUAAAUUGAUCGCUCCCAUUGACCAAGUCAUAUUCAAGAAAUUUAGCAUUUCUUGAUUCCACAAUCCUAGUGCUGUGAGAUGGACAGUAAAACCUAUACCCCUUGGACUUUUCAGCAUAUCCAAUGAAAUACCCACUAAUAGUCCUUGGGUUCAGUUUCUUCUCUUGUGGAUUAUAAAUUCUCACUUCAGACGAGCAUCCCCAAACGCGCAUAUGUCGCAAACUCGGUUUCCAACCUUUCAAUAACUCAAAUGGCGUUUUUAAGACAACCUUGGUUGGAACUCGGUUUAAUAUAUACACAGCUGUCUUAAGUGCUUCAAUCUACAAGAAUUUAGGAAGUUUUGAGCUGCUAAGCAUACUCCUCACCAUGUCCAAUAAAGUUCGGUUUCUUUUUUCUGCUACACCAUUUUGGUCUGGAGAACCAGGCAUGGUGUAUUGGGCAACAAUCCCAUGCUCUUGAAGAAACUUCGCAAAUGGCCCAGGUGAUUGUCCAUCUUCCAAGUAUCUAUCAUAAUAUUCUCCACCUCUAUCUGAUCUCACGAUCUUAAUUUGUUUACCAUAUUGUUUCUCUACUUCUGCCUUGAAGACUUUAAAGGCAUCUAAAGCUUCAUUUUUAUUAUGAAGUAUGUAGAGAUACAUGUAUCGUGAGAAAUCAUCUAUGAAAGAGAUGAAGUAUUUCUGACCAUGAGAGUCCAUGUCAAGACUACAUAUAUCAGUAUGUAUGAUCUCUAGUGUGGUAGAACUCCUAGUAGCACCUCUCUUUGACUUGUUGGUCUGCUUUCCCUUAAUGCAGUCCACACAAGUCUCAAAGUCAGUAAAAUCUAGAGUACUAAGUACCCCAUCAUUCACCAAUCUUUUGAUUCUAUCUAUGGAGAUAUGACCUAAUCUCCGGUGCCACAAUGUAGAGGAAUCCUCUUUUACAACACAUCUCUUAAUACCAGUUUGGACAUGUAAUGAAUUAUGAGCGGUAUCAUUUUGUAAGAAUAUACAAUAAAGACCAUCAGACAAGAUACCAUUCCCAACACAUUCAGAUUUAUAAAUCAAACUGAAAGAUGUUUCUGAAAAAUGAAAGAAAUAUCCAAACGGUACAAGUCUAGAAACUGAAAUCAGGUUUCGUGAGAAACUUGGUACAUAAAAGGUCCUUUGCAAUUCCAAAAUAAAACCACCAUAUAAAGUUAAAUAACAUAUCCCUAUUGCUUCCACAUGCGAGCCCAUCUUGUUUCCGGAUAAGAUGAAUUGUUCACUUGUCACUGGCUUCCUUAGGUUUUGCAUACCCUACAAGGAAUUUGAAAUGUGGAUUGUAGAUCCAGAAUCAAUCCACCAUGUGUUGGUGUUUACAUUAACCAUAUUAGAUUCAUAACAAACAAAUGAGGUAGGGUUACCUUUAUUCUCAAGCCAAUUCUGAAAUUUCAGACAUUUCUUCUUCACGUGUCUUUUCUUUUUACAGAAAAAACACUUUUCGUCUUUCUUAAUGUCAGAUUUAGGAGAAAUUUGUUGCUUCCCUUUCUGACUGGCUUGAGAUUUUCCUUUCUUUCCUUUCCUUUGCGUCACCAGCAUGGCACUUUCUCCUUAUUCCAUCAUUAACCUUCCUUCCUCUUGAACACACAUGGUCAUCAAUUCAUUGAUAGACCACUUAUCCUUAUGUGUGUUGUAAGAGAUUUUGAAAGGUCCAUACUGAGGUGGAAGAGUGUUAAGGAUAAAGUGCACCAAGAAGGAUUCAGACAUUUCUACAUUGAGUUUCUUUAAUUGAGCCACAAUGUCCCUCAUGUCCAUGAUAUGUUCACGCACACCUCUUAUAGCGGUGAGCUUCAAGGAUGUGAACUUCAUAAUUAGGGUGCUUGUCAAGGCUUUAUCUGAAGUGACGAAUUGCUCGUCAAUAGCCUUUAGCAAUUCACGAACAUUUUCAUGUUGCUCGAUUGAACCACGUAUACCAACACUGAUUUUUGUCUUAAUGUACAUCACGCUAAGGCGAUUAGAUUUCUCCCAGCGUUCAUACAAUAAAAUUUGUUCAGGUGUGCUGGUAUCAGUGAUCUUAUGCGGUUCAUCUUUCCUUAUAGCAUAAUCUAUGUCCAUGCACCCUAAUUGAAGAAGAAUUCUCUCAUUCCAUAUCUUAAAGUUAUCUCCUCUAAGUUCGGGAACCUCACAACGAAUAUCAAAUAUGCUAGGUAAAACUGCACAAAAGGAUUACAAGCUUAUUAAAAAUUUGAGGCUUUAAUAUAAAUUCAUGCUUUACCAAUGUAGAACAUACUUAAAAUUGAAUCUAAUUUUAUUAAAAAUUGUCUGUGGGCUAAAUCUUUAAUUCAAUCAGAUUAAUUAUCUUUAUGAUAUACUUUAUCAAACUAUUUUAUUGAAUUAUGAAAUUUAUUAUGAAUAUAGUUUGAUAUUUUCUGUCUAUAAUCUUUAUGAUAAACCUAUUAAAUUAAUUAUUCCUAACUCCUGUGGGUAAAUUAGGAAAAAUUAAUUUUAAUAUUUUAUCCUAAUUAAUUAUAUAAAUAUAAUGAAAACCCUGUGGGGUAAAAUCGUCAUAUUCAUAUAAUUAAUUACAAUUAAUGUCCAUAAUGUGAUCCAGAUUUACUUAAUAUAUAAUUUUUAUAUAAUUAAGGUUGCUGUGGCUAUUCCUUAAUUAUUAAAAAAUUAUAUUGUUCACUAGACAUUAAGAUUAUAGGAUAUAUAUAUUUUAAUAUAUCUUAUACAAUUUAGAUAAAAUUUGCAUGCAUCAAUAGCUACAACAUUUAAUUUAUCUAACACAAGAUUAAGCUACAUUUUAUACAUACAAACAAUAAAAUUAAUGAUUUAAUAUGCAUGUAUAAAGGAUCACAUAUAAUUUAGAAUUAACUUGAAAGGAUUUCAUAAUAUGAAAGGGUGCCUAAAUUCAUAUAAAAAAACAAUUAAUUCAAAUCCAAUAAAAUAAUUCAAACCGGGCCAUUAGAACCUAAACCGACCCAAAUAUCAUAUUUAACCCAUGGCCCAAUACACAAAGACCUUUAAUAAUUUUAUUGGGUCACUGCACAUGUAAUAAGCCUAAUGGGCCCAAAAGUAAAACCCAAUCUCUCUCUAGUUUUUUUUUUAUUUAUUUAUUAAUUUAUGGGUUCCAACAUUCAGCACGUUGGCAUCAUAACCACCCUUAGUCGCAUGCAGCCGCAUCAUCCGCGGCACCAAAACAACAUCGAACCGAUCUUUAAGCGACGCCGGCAGCGGCGCACCUUACAACCCAAAACAACACCUCAAAUGGCACUUCUAGAAAGGCUGAAAAUGGUGCCUGCAACGACGCUUGAAUAGCUCCUGAAUGACGCUUGCAGUGGUGCCUGAAUGGCACUCGAAACAGGCACCUGCAUCGGCGCUUGAAUAGCGCCUGAAUGGCGCUCAAAAUAAGCGCCUGAAUGGCGCUCGAAAUAGGCGCCUGCAGCAGCGCUUGAACAGCACCUGAAUGAGCUCAAAACGGGCACCUGUACCGGCGCUAAACAAUGCUUGAAUGGCGAUUGUAGUGGUGCUUGAAUGUCGUUCCCAACAGACUAUGACGCCAAAACGACAUCUCUGUCAUCCUCUGACGAGCACGGGAGGUGGAUGCAGCUGUGUGAAACCAGCCACACGUAGGCUCCUCCACUCUAGGAGCCACGCCACCCAGGCCUUCGCCCGGAUGUCGAGACUCAUCUCCUAACUUGGAAUGGGCAGGCCAACAUUUAUCCACAUUAAGCCUUACCCGCACAAACCAUCCACCCACCUUGACACCCCAACCAGAAGUUUCCAGAUUUAUUUGUUCUUAUUUCCAGAAAAAAAAAAAAAAAAAAACAAUUAUACAAGCUACUAAUACCAAGGCAAAGGUAAGAUUGCAUAGCUCUGAUACCAAAUGUUGGCAAUUCAUAAUGCAUAUAAACAAUUCAUUCAUAUGUAACUUAUGUCAUACUUACCUCCAGCCAUUGUUGGGUUGCAAGUCUUUGGUUUCCAAAACUCUUAUCUCUCCCUAUGGAUGGUGUAGUUUCUGAAGAUUUUCAGCAGCAUGAGAGAGAAGCUUGGGACCAAGACCGAUAUUUAAAAUACAAAGAAAACGUGGCUUCCCAUCAAAGCCACAUUUCUCUGAUUUGCCACACGAUGAGCAAUUGAAAGAAACGUGCUCCUUAACAGCAGCUACAUGAUGAAGGAUGUGGCCAAGUGUUGGACCACUUCAGGGCAGUGGAACGUGGGUGGUGAACGUCGGUUAUUUGAUAACAUGGGCUACAUGUGAACAAUGCUACAUACAUGAGCCAUGGGUGUGACCGAGAUCAUGCGACCCUCCAAAAUGUGGUGAAAGACUCUAAUUCUAGCAACAAUGAACUUAGUAAGGCGUACUUGGGCAUACGAGUACAAGACAUCUGGGUUGGUUGGCUAAAACACACAGGUUCAAGGAAGGGAAACAUGCAGAGACACGAGGUUUGUUGGUUUAGGCACAAGACAAAGUCUAGCGAGUAACAUCCGGGAGAUAUAGCCACUCCUAAUCUAUGAAUAUAGGGUUGCGUCUAGGAACAACAAUGGGGUGAGUUUUUUAAGUACCCGCCUUUAAUGAGAUAAGUUUAAAAUUUAAGGGCUUAAGAUUUUUUUUUAAAAUCCAAGACGGGUUCAAGGUGAGUUCGUCUCACCCCAUCCAGCCCCACCUUAAUCAUAUAUAAAAUUAAUUUAAUUUAAUUUUAAUUUUUUAUUUUAAUAUAUAUAAUAAUAAUGGUAAUAAAAUGUUUUUCAAUAAAAUAAGUUAUACAAAACUAUAAUAUUUUAAUUAUUUAUUUUUAAAAAAAGUUAAACAGGAUGAGAUAAGGUGAGUAUGGAAAAUUUGUAUACUCGUCCCGUCCCACCCCACUCCAUUUAUUUAUUUUUAAUGGGACAAAUAUGUGAAUUAUUUUGAAUAAAUGAGACGGGUGGGUUGGGAUGAAAGCGAUCCGUCCCGAACCCGCCCUAUUGCUAUCCCUAGUUGUGUUGUAGAAAUGCAUAAAUACAUCAUCUGAAACAAGGACAAAGUGUUUGGGACACCUGAUAGCACCUCAAGAGAAGUUGCAAGCCUUAAGAAACUACUAAGAUAGGUGAAAGAGCUUGGGUUGGAUCUCUAAUACAUGGGUAGUUAUUGAGAUUUUUUGGCUGCCUAUUAAUACCAUGUUGUACAGGUAAAAGAUAAAAUGUUUCCAUGGACUUAAAACUCGUUUUAUAGUAAUUCUAAGAAGCGAUUGUAAUAUUUAUAGUACUUAAAUUUUUUUAUUUUUCAAGUGUUAGAAGAGAUAAAAAAAUACUUUAUAAAAUCACUAUCAAACAGACACUUAGAGUUCGUUUAACAAUUAUUCUAAAAAAUGUUUAUAAUUUAAAAAGUAUUUUUUUAAAAAUAAUAAUAAUAAUAAAGUGUUUAACAAAAUUUAGGAAACAUUUUUAGAAAUCUGAAAAAUCACUUUGUAGUAUUGAAAAAUUAGUUGUAGUGUUAUUUAGAUAAAUACGUGAUGAAUUAUUCUUUUACAAACACUUUCAAAGAAAACAUUUGUACUAAAAACAAUUCAAGUAGAAACACUGCCAACUAAGAAGCUUUGAUUUUUUUUGUGUUGGGCACGGAAUUAUACAAGUUGAGCUGCUUGUAUACUUCGUGUGUCGGUUGCUUCGGUGUGGGCUUGCUAGGUCGAUCUUCACAACAUCACACAAAAAAAGAAUCUUGUGACAGCUAGCACUAUGAUGCUUAGGAUAGUAAGCAUCAUAAGAGAGUUGCCCUGCCAUCACCAGAAUUCACCCUUUUUCCUUUUCUACAUAAAAACCUUUGCAUCUUAAAAGAUUACAUCUAUAGAUCACACCCACACAUGUUCAUUCCACACCAACGUUCAUUGUAUUAAUUACAAAAACAAAGUUUCAAACUCCUCCCACUUGGAUCAUUUCAUAAAUCUGUAGCUAGGCUUCUCAGUCGUUUUUUUAUGCCCAAAUUUGUAAGUUUUGCUAGGACUGCAGUUGAAGUUACUGUCACCCCCAAAGCCAUACUUGGUGCGGUACCCUGGGUAGUCCCUAAAAUUGAAGGGCACUUCUUCUAUAAGUCUUAGCCCAACUCUUGAGGCUAGAAAUUCCAAAUUCCACUCAUAAAAGAAGCCAUUGCUUUUGUGAGUAAUGUGGAUUUCUCCAUCUAUGUGAAUCAACUUCUUCGCAUUUUCUAAAAACUGUUGUACCAGCAUCCGAUGUCGCCUGCAAGAAUUAAC